This 403-nucleotide ribosomal RNA is filed under the name uncultured bacterium. RNAcentral describes it as "partial 16S ribosomal RNA". It matches the Rfam family "Bacterial small subunit ribosomal RNA", at positions 30 to 526 of the family's 1533-position model. The record is from RNAcentral.
AUUGAACGCUGGCGGCAGGCCUAACACAUGCAAGUCGAACGAGUGGCGGACGGGUGAGUAAUGUCUGGGAAACUGCCCGAUGGAGGGGGAUAACUACUGGAAACGGUAGCUAAUACCGCAUACCAUCGGAUGUGCCCAGAUGGGGGUAGCUUGUAGGUGAGGUAACGGCUCACCUAGGCGACGAUCCCUAGCUGGUCGGAGAGGAUGACCAGCAUAGCUGUAACUGAGACACGGUCCAGCCUCCUACGGGAGGCAGCAGUGGGGAAUAUGGCACAAUGGGUGCAAGCCUGAUGCAGCCAGGCCGCGUGGAUGAAGAAGGCAUUUGUGUUGUAAAGUACUUUCAGCGGGGAGGCGUUACCCGCAGAAGAAGCACCGGCUAACUCCGUGCCAGCCGCGGUUAUAC